GGUGGAUAAAGGACGUUUGAGGGUGGGAUUGGCGUAAUCAGAGACAUAGGAGCCCCAUGGGGGAUAGGCACACUGGUGACCAAGGAGGGCCUCCUGGAGGAGGUGGCAUCUGCCCUGAGGCCUGAAGGCUGGAAGGAGCCGCGUGUGAAGACCUAGAAGCCCACCGGGCCGGCAAGAGGGACAGCGCGUACAGUGUCCUUAGGGCUGGAAAGAAGGAAUCGGCCUGUGUGGCUGGAGCUCAGAUUGAGAUGGGGAGACCGCAAGGACGUGGCAGGAAGGGGCUUGACUGGCAGGUGCCCUGUGGCUGGAGACCUUCAGAUGUGGCCCCUGCUGGGUUGCUGGCUCUCUCCAAGCGCACUUUUGAGGUGUUCCCUCGCCUGGCUGCUGACGCCUCAGCCUGCCUGUGGUUCCACCCGCCUGGGGAGGACAGCCUGGUGUCCAAGUGCUCCUCUUGGAAGGGCCUUUCUAAGCUGACCGUAUCCUGCUCCUUUGGGAAAUUUGGACACACACACACAUGGAGAAUGCACAGUGAUGAUCAAGGCAGAGAUGGGAGUGAGGCACUUGCAAGCUAAGGAACGCCAAGGAUUGCUGGCAACCACCAGAAGCUGGGAAGAGGCAAAGAAGUAUUCUUCCCCGGAGCCUUCAGAGAGAGAAUGGCCCUGCCGACAUCUUGAAUUUGGAUUUCUAGUCUCCAGAACUGUGAGAAUGGUUCUGUUGUCCGUAAGCCCCCCUAGUUUGUGUGUGGUAAUUUGUAAUGGCAGCCCCAGGAAACAAUCCGGCACCAUGAUGGGUGCAGCCUGAAGGGUUUUCCUGGGGACAACACGGGGCCUGGCCCUGGCUUGGCUCUUGGGAGCUACCUGUUAGGGCCAGGUGCUGGAGGAGCUCCUGGAUGUUCGCAGAAGGAUGCCAGGCCACCCCCUCCUGAGCCCUUCGCCAGACCAUAGAAGUCAGCCCUUAAGUGGGGACAGAGUCUCAGCCCCUGGAUCCCCACUGCAGCCCAGACUGGACCUGCUUCCGACUCCCCGUUCUGAGCCGUGGUCAGUCUCUCUCAGUCAACAGUGAUUUCCAUUGACGUUCGCCCUGGCCCUGCUGGG
RNAcentral lists this long non-coding RNA (1094 nucleotides) under Equus caballus (horse). Its description in RNAcentral is "lncRNA (ENSECAG00000040946.2)". The record is from RNAcentral. Lineage: Eukaryota; Metazoa; Chordata; Mammalia; Perissodactyla; Equidae.